Rattus norvegicus (Norway rat) is the source of this 1219-nucleotide long non-coding RNA. RefSeq lists it as uncharacterized. The record is from RefSeq and is a predicted model, not a curated record. NCBI's taxonomy places the organism in Eukaryota, Metazoa, Chordata, Mammalia, Rodentia, Muridae.
GUGGGGCAGGUACAAGAUAGAAGGAGGCCUGUCAUUGGAUGAGAAGGAAAGAUGGGUGUCUAUCAUUGGAUGAGAAGGAAAGAUGGGCGGGAGAGAAGUUUGAAGGAAGAGGAGGAGACUGGAACGAAGAGAGGAGGAGGGAGGCCGAGAAGCCGUGGCAGGACAAUGGAGGAUGACGUAAAGAUCUCGCUCUGUGUAUUUACCGAUCUUUCCGUUCAAAUGUUCAUUACGGUGAGCCUGGUUGGUGGCCUCUGGCUUCCGUUUCACUGACUCGGACCACGUGGAGCACUGCUGCUUGACAAAGACCCAGCAGAUGGACGUCAAGGACUACAGCUCUCCAGCACCAUUUUACUUCUGCCUGACAAUCCUCACUCUGCGCUAUGAGAGAGAUAGACGCCUUAUGCUUUUCCUUUGGGGGUUUUCUAUGGGCUUUGGUGGAGCAUGUGUUCACAUACAGCGGCAGUCUCUCUAAACAAGAUAAUUCUUUAGAAAAGAUCCCCACCAUCCUGGAACCAUACAGAAUGAUGACUCUGCCUCUCCCCAUAGUGCCCCCCCUGUUUGCACCAAAAACAGAGAAGUUAAAGAUUUAUUAACGGAGAGAUGCUGCCAGAAACUCUCGGGUACACCUAGUCCCAAGGACGAAAGCACAAACCAGAGAAACAAUGGACCAAGUCUGAGGACCUGGCAGUUGAGGACAAGGGAUCAGUUAAUAAGUACAGAACAGUGCUCACAGUUGAUUCCCUGGGUACGAGACUUACAGGAUGAAUGGCACGGUCUGAUCUGUCCCACAAGGAGCAGGUCCUGUUAAGUUAUAUUGACUUGAUCCCCCUCUGCCAUACACAGGAGCAUACUCUGAAGGAAUCAGGAUGGCUCGGCAUACUGGAAAAAGAGUAAGAUGUCAGGACCUCCCUUUGGGGAGUGCGUGAGGAGAACGGGCCAUAUUGUCAGACCAAGGCACAUAGGAGCCCAACUAGGAAACAGCUCAGUGCUAUUGUGCUGCACGGUGCAAACCUGCAUGGCGCCCUGAGGAGUGGAAAUUGCUCGGAUGAGUUUGUUUCUCAGAACUCAAUGCCUGGUUCUCCUGACCACAGAGGCUGAGACCACGCAGGGGAACAUGUAAACGGGUACCUGGUGAGGUCCUGGACCUCAGAGAACAAAAGGGACUUAGAUGUUUGCUGAACUUCCUGUUUUUGCUUCAGAGAUAAACACUGUAAUCGAG